Molecule: RNA transcript, 1264 nt
Organism: Lycium barbarum (goji berry)
Lineage: Eukaryota; Viridiplantae; Streptophyta; Magnoliopsida; Solanales; Solanaceae
Exons: 3
Source: RefSeq, a predicted model, not a curated record
UCUUUCCCUUUCCCUCAUUUUCGCGCCUCCCCCCUUCCCCUUUCCUCUCUGAUCCGCGCCUCUCCACCAUCUCUUCGUCCCCACCACCGCCGUUUGCCCACGCCGCUCCCUUCCACUUACCUAUGUCCCCCACGCUCUUCUCUCUCUUCUUCACAAGCAAAACGCUAGUUAACCCCCUAUAAAUAUUUGCUUCCUAAUCUGCUUAAAGGGGGAUUUUUUUUUGGAUUCAUGAAAUUUCCCAAGAACUAGGUAAUAUUGAGUUCUUCAGCCGCUGAAUUAGUUUGUUUUUUUAGCAGUCAUAAUAUCGAUUAAUAUCGAAAAAAACAUACCAGACGUUUUUUUCCCUUUUUUUUUACUGCUUCGAAUCCAAGUGAUACCAACUCGGAAGUUCGUGGUGUUUCGAGGUAGAUCGGAGACUCAAAGCCUCACUUCGCUGCACCCGAAGAAGGUAUGAAGAGAAGAUAUGAAGAGAAGCCUUCAGCGAAGAGUCAGAAUGUGAAGAAAAAUGGUCGCUAUAGUAGAGAAGAAAAGCUCAAUAGAAACCCCUCUCCAAGUGCCUCAGGGCCGGCUCAAUGGGAAAGCAAAUGUGUUAGGCCCCAAAAAUUGGACACCCCAAAAGUCUUACUCCCUCCGUGCCAAUUUAUGUGACAUUCUUUCCUUUUUAGUCAGUUUCAAAAAUUUCGAUGGAUAAAAAUUUGGCUUGUUGGUAAGGGAUUUUUGCCUAAAAAAUAAAAAUAAAAAUCAAAUACAUAUAUACGUAUAGAAUUUAUUAAACAAAUUUAUGGCCUCUUAUUGAGGUUUAGCAUUAGGUCACCAAUUUCGUGAAGCCGCCCCUGGUGACGGGGAGCGGAUGGAAAAUAUAAGCUAUGGGUUAAGCUGAACCUAGUAGCUUUGACUCAAAUUGUUUAUAUGUGCAAUCUACUAAAUAUGUACAAAUAUUAAAUUUCUAACUCAAUAACUCAAUUGGUCAGUGGGUUCAGUGGCAUCCCGAACCCAUAAAGUUCAAAUCUUGGAUCCACCUUGUGACAAGUUGAAGUUUUGGAAAUAAUAUUGAAGUUAGUUUCGAAAUAUUAGAAAUAUUUAAAAAGUUAUAAUUGAAAAUGAUCGUGAAGAAACUGCUGGCCUAAUAAUAGUAGCCAUAGAUGGAAUGGGAUAACGAGUGUAAUAAAAAAAUAAAAACGAUUUUUCCUUUGUUUGUGUUCUGUUAUUUGCCAAAAGUUCCCAUUUUUUUUAUUUUUUUAUUGUUUUUGGGGUGGGUGGUGGU